Molecule: non-coding RNA, 30 nt
Filed under: Mus musculus (house mouse)
Lineage: Eukaryota; Metazoa; Chordata; Mammalia; Rodentia; Muridae
Source: RNAcentral
UCAGACUGCUUUGCCUCCCAAAUGCUGGGA